This 237-nucleotide ribosomal RNA is filed under the name uncultured bacterium. Its description in RNAcentral is "partial 16S ribosomal RNA". It matches the Rfam family "Bacterial small subunit ribosomal RNA", at positions 796 to 1041 of the family's 1533-position model. The record is from RNAcentral.
CGUUCUGUAAACUAUGAUUACUAGAUAGUUUUUUAAAAAAUAUAUCUAAGCGAAAGCGUUAAGUAAUCCACCUGGGGAGUACGCUCGCAAGAGUGAAACUAAAAGGAAUUGACGGGAGUCCGCACAAGCGGUGGAGUAUGUGGUUUAAUUCGAUAGUACGCGAGGAACCUUACCUGGGUUAGAAUAUGUUUUGAUCAUUUAAGAAAUUAAAUUUCCUUCGGGCAAAACAUAAGGUGC